Molecule: unclassified non-coding RNA, 189 nt
Filed under: uncultured fungus
Lineage: Eukaryota; Fungi
Description: sequence contains ITS1
Source: RNAcentral
AUAUUUUGAAUUAAGUAUAUUCAUAAUAUGUUAUCAGACGAAUGUUGUUAAAGAUAUAGGUUGAUAUUUGUGAAGGGAAAGAGUUGCCUCUCUCCCAACAAACAUUGCACACAAGGUGGAUAUGGAUUUUUAAAAAGUGCAGUAAAACACUUAUUAUGAAUGAUCCUUCCGCAGGUUCACCUACGGAAA